This 82-nucleotide transfer RNA is filed under the name Ganoderma lucidum G.260125-1. RNAcentral describes it as "tRNA-Ser (TGA) (tRNA-Ser-TGA-2-1)". It matches the Rfam family "tRNA". Rfam says of the family: Transfer RNA (tRNA) molecules are approximately 80 nucleotides in length. Lineage: Eukaryota; Fungi; Basidiomycota; Agaricomycetes; Polyporales; Polyporaceae. RNAcentral also lists the same sequence under 1 other name. The record is from RNAcentral.
GCUGAUAUGGCCGAGUCGUUAAGGCGAGUGAUUUGAAAUCACUUGGGCGUUGCCCGCGUAGGUUCAAAUCCUGCUGUCAGCG